This 495-nucleotide ribosomal RNA is filed under the name uncultured bacterium. Its description in RNAcentral is "partial 16S ribosomal RNA". It matches the Rfam family "Bacterial small subunit ribosomal RNA", at positions 28 to 507 of the family's 1533-position model. The record is from RNAcentral.
GACGAACGCUGGCGGCGUGCCUAAUACAUGCAAGUAGAACGCUAAAGGCGGAGCUUUCUUCUCCGGAUGAGUUGCGAACGGGUGAGUAACGCGUAGGUAACCUGCCUUGUAGCGGGGGAUAACUAUUGGAAACUAUAGUUAAUACCGCAUAACAGCAGAUAUUGCAUGAUAUCUGCUGGAAAGGUUCAAUUGCUUCCCUACCAGAUGGACCUGCUUUGUAUUAGCUAGUUGGUGUGGUAUCGGCCCACGCAGGCGACGCUACGUCGCCGAACUGCGAGGGGGAGCGGCCACCCUGGGACUGUGACACGGCCCAGACUCCUACGGAAGGCAGCAGUAGGGCAUCUUCGGGAAUAGACGGAAGUCUGACCGAGCAACGCCGAGUGAGUGAAGAAGGUUUUCGGAUCGUAGAGCUCGGUUGUAAGAGAAGAAAGAGUGUGAGAGUGGAAAGUUCACACUGUGACGGUAUCUUACAAGAAAGGGACGGCUAACUACGUG